CCCACCGUAUCCCAGAAUACAGUUCGUACAGCAUCACUGAUACAUCAUUGCUACAUCACUGACAUGUCACAAAAGGGGAGGGUUACACAUGUUUAGCAUAGACAGAUGUGUCAGGGCAACACACAAGUAUAAGAUUAGUGUAGACAAAUAUGUCUUAAGUACCCACCACCCAAAAGUACAAUAGAAGUUCCUUUGCCUGUCUGGAGCCUGAGGUGAGUCAGGUGAUGAGAUUUGGCUUCCUUUGGCUAACAAUCAGCUCAGCAAUUGUCACCCCUGGCCACUUCCUGGAGUCCUUUUUCAAGGGAAAAUAGCUUUGGAAUGGAGGAAACUGGCAAGGAGUUGAUUUUAUAUUAUUUUUUAAAAGCUAGGUGACUUCCCUGAGCUGUCAAGUUGAAAGGAUACAUUCAGGCAUAAUAUUUGUAACAUUUAACAACUUUAAAGAUGUGUCUCCCCCCCCCCCCCCGUAAUUUCCGUAACAGUGGCCAUUGCUGCUUCCUAUGGUAGCCCCAUGUAGGGGCGUGACAAGAUCCAGUCCUGGGGGGCACUGAAGAAUCUGGGGCAAGAUCCCUCUCCUCCAGAAAGGGGUGCCACCUGCACACGGGGCGGGCAUUCAGCUGCGAUGUGAGAAGUGGGUCUGGAAGGGGGCAGCCCCAAAGCAAGCGUCUCCCAGAGCCCAUCAGCGCCAGCUGGGCCUGAAAAGCGGAAGGGAGGAGGGGACAUUCUACCACAUGUGGUGGGAUUGUAAUGAAAUUAAGAAAUUUGGGAAAUGAUAUACAAUGAAUUGAAGAAAAUGUUCCAUCUAACGUUUGUCAAAAAACCUGAAGCAUUUCUGUUAGGGGUUGUAGGAAAAGACCUGCCAAGGAAGAUGAAAAAUAUCUUCAUGUAUGCGACAACGGCCGUGAGAGUCUUAAUAGCACAAGGAUGGAAAUCCCGACUAAAGAAUCAUGGCAAGAGAAAUGGAUGGACUAUGCAGAACUGGCAAAACUGACACAUAAACUACGGGACAAGGAUAACUGUGACUUUAAAGAGAAAUGGGAACCUUUUACAAAGUACCUAAAGAAGCAACAAAGUGACUUGGACUCUUUGGCAGGCUUUGAAUAAACACUGACAAACUUUU
Non-coding RNA from Podarcis lilfordi (Lilford's wall lizard), 1117 nucleotides. The record is from the annotation of a GenBank genome assembly. Lineage: Eukaryota; Metazoa; Chordata; Lepidosauria; Squamata; Lacertidae.